UAAGGAAUAUUGGACAAUGGGCGGAAGCCUGAUCCAGCCAUGCCGCGUGAAGGAAGAAUGCGCUCAGCGUUGUAAACUUCUUUUGGAUGGGAAUAAUAACCUCUACGCGAUAGGGGCUUGAAGGUACCAUCAGAAUAAGCACCGGCUAACUCCGUGCCAGCAGCCGCGGUAAUACGGAGGGUGCAAGCGUUAUCCGGAAUCACUGGGUUUAAAGGGUGCGUAGGCGGUUCGGUAAGUCAGUUGUGAAAUC
This 250-nucleotide ribosomal RNA is filed under the name uncultured bacterium. RNAcentral describes it as "partial 16S ribosomal RNA". It matches the Rfam family "Bacterial small subunit ribosomal RNA", at positions 355 to 601 of the family's 1533-position model. The record is from RNAcentral.